Molecule: ribosomal RNA, 220 nt
Filed under: uncultured Glomeromycotina
Lineage: Eukaryota; Fungi; Glomeromycota
Description: partial small subunit ribosomal RNA
Rfam family: Eukaryotic small subunit ribosomal RNA
Source: RNAcentral
GGAUUGACACAUCGGUCGUGCCUUAAGGGGUAUGAACUGGUGUAGUCAAUUUCUCACCUUCUGGAGAACCACGAUGCCCUUAAUUGGGUGUCGCGGGGAACCAGGACCUUUACUUUGAAAAAAUUAGAGUGUUUAAAGCAGGCUAACGUCUGAAUACAUUAGCAUGGAAUAAUAAAAUAGGACGGCAUGAUUCUAUUUUGUUGUUUCUAGGAUCACCGUA